GGAGUCUGGGCCGUGUCUCAGUCCCAAUGUGGCCGGUCGGUCUCUCAACCCGGCUACCCAUCGUCGACUUGGUAGGCCGUUACCCCACCAACUAUCUAAUGGGCCGCGAGCCCAUCUCUCACCGCACAAGGCUUUCCCGUAUCGAUCAUGCGAAAGAUACGGAGUAUUCGGUAUUAGCACAAAUUUCUCUGAGUUAUUCCGAAGUGAGAGGCAGGUUGCUCACGUGUUACUCACCCGUUCGCCACUCUACUUACACCCGAAGGUGCUUUCUCGUUCGACUUGCAUGUGUUAAGCACGCCGCCAGCGUUCAUC
RNAcentral lists this ribosomal RNA (312 nucleotides) under uncultured Oscillospiraceae bacterium. RNAcentral's name for it is "partial 16S ribosomal RNA". Lineage: Bacteria; Bacillati; Bacillota; Clostridia; Eubacteriales; Oscillospiraceae. The record is from RNAcentral.